RNAcentral lists this unclassified non-coding RNA (1348 nucleotides) under uncultured Neocallimastigales. RNAcentral describes it as "partial contains small subunit ribosomal RNA, internal transcribed spacer 1, 5.8S ribosomal RNA, internal transcribed spacer 2, and large subunit ribosomal RNA". The stretch from base 601 to 1348 matches the Rfam family "Eukaryotic large subunit ribosomal RNA", at positions 1 to 629 of the family's 3401-position model. The record is from RNAcentral. Lineage: Eukaryota; Fungi; Neocallimastigomycota; Neocallimastigomycetes; Neocallimastigales.
UAAAAGUCGUAACAAGGUUUCCGUAGGUGAACCUGCGGAAGAUCAUUAAAAAUGAGACCUGAUUCAAGGUCUAUUAAUAAUCCUACCCUUUGUGAAUUUGUUUUGUUUAAUAUGUGUCUUUCCUGUUUGUUUGAGCUUGUUUAAAAGUUCAACUUCAGGGAAUGGCAAAACUUUUUUUAAAAUUAAACUUUUGUAUUCAUUUGUCUAAAAUUAUUUUAUAAUAUAAAAACAACUUUGACAAUGGAUCUCUUGGUUCUCGCAACGAUGAAGAACGCAGCAAAAUGCGAUAAGUAGUGUGAUUGCAGAAUACGUGAAUCAUCGAAUCUUCGAACGCAUAUUGCACUUUUUGGUUUACCAAAAAAGUAUGUCUGUUUGAGUAUCAGUAAAAUAUUCUCAUAAAACUAUUUGUUUUAUGGUUAUGAGUGUUUACAACGAUAAACAAGUUGUUCACUUUAAAUUCUUGUCUUUUAAAAAUCAUUAAAACUGAUUUUUUUUAAAAUUGGAUAAAAUUUUCCCGUAAAAAGGAAUAACCUAAACAAUUUAAUUAAAUUGGUUUGAUUUCUUUUAAGACUUUAAAGGAAAAAAAAGUAAAAAUUAACUUGAUCUCAAAUCAGAUAAGAGUACCGCUGAACUUAAGCAUAUCAAUAAGCGGAGGAAAAGAAACUAACUAGGAUUCCUCAGUAACGGCGAGUAAGCGGGAAGAGCUCAAAUCUGAAAUCUUCAAGUUCUACCUUGACGAAUGUGUUUAAGAAGUGUUUUCUGUUGAGUUUUGGUAAAAGUUCUUUGAAUAGGACAUCAUAGAGGUGAGAUCCCGUAUUUGACCAUUAUUUCCAACUUGUGAUACACUUUCAAAGAGUCGGAUUGUUGGAAUGCAGUCCAAAAUGGUGGUAAUUUCAUCUAAAGCUAAAUACUGGCGAGAGACCGAUAGCGAACAAGUACCUGAGGAAAGAUGAAAGAACUUUGAAAGAGAGUUAAACAGUACGUGAAAUUGUCAAAGGGAAGCGUUUGACACCAGUGUUGUUUCUCGAAAAUCAAUUAAAAUGGCGGAUUUUGUGUUGUAUUGACUUUAUCAGCUUUCUCACUUUUUUCCUGUCUUUUUUAAUGCACUUUUCGUUUAACAAGUCAACAUCAAUUUCUUUUGUUGUAAAAGGGUCAUUGGAAGGUGGCUUCUUUUCGGAGAAAGUGUUUAUAGCCUUUGGCCUCUGCAAUCGGAGAGAUUGAGUCUGCAGCGUAGAUCCUUCGGGUUAGAUGCAUUUGUGCUAAGCUAUAGCCUUCAUAGACAACUUGUUGACUAUGAUCAGUCAUGUAGCUUACUCGCUUAUGUCAUUUACUACGCUUAGGAUGUUGA